GAUGAACGCUGGCGGCGUGCUUAACACAUGCAAGUCGAACGGAAAGGCUCCUGCUUGCAGGGGUACUCGAGUGGCGAACGGGUGAGUAACACGUGGGUGAUCUGCCCUGCACUUCGGGAUAAGCCUGGGAAACUGGGUCUAAUACCGGAUAGGACGAUGGUUUGGAUGCCAUUGUGGAAAGUUUUUCGGUGUGGGAUGAGCUCGCGGCCUAUCAGCUUGUUGGUGGGGUAAUGGCCUACCAAGGCGUCGACGGGUAGCCGGCCUGAGAGGGUGUACGGCCACAUUGGGACUGAGAUACAGCCCAGACUCCUACGGGAGGCAGCAGUGGGGAAUAUUGCACAAUGGGCGCAAGCCUGAUGCAGCGACGCCGCGUGGGGGAUGACGGCCUUCGGGUUGUAAACUCCUUUCGCUAGGGACGAAGCGCAAGUGACGGUACCUGGAGAAGAAGCACCGGCUAACUACGUG
This 465-nucleotide ribosomal RNA is filed under the name uncultured bacterium. RNAcentral describes it as "partial 16S ribosomal RNA". It matches the Rfam family "Bacterial small subunit ribosomal RNA", at positions 28 to 507 of the family's 1533-position model. The record is from RNAcentral.